AACUCAGAUUUUUUUUGGAAAUGUAUAUACUUUAAAUGAGAGAUUUUAGUUAGCCUGAGAGUUGCCUUUGAGAUGAUGUGAUUUUGCUAAUGGUAUGCCAGUUCUGUAUGCAAUAGAAAAUGCUGAAUUGGAAGAGGGUACGUCAAUACAUUUGUUGAAUAUCUAAAUAGAGUUUAAUUAAGUGGUGAUGAGCGCUAAAUAAAACCAUUUCAUUCAUUUAACAUAGCAUUUCAAUAUACAUGGAAAUGCCUGUUAACUUCAUUGGUUGAAUUCUGAAGCAUCAGUAUUUGUCUGUAAUUGUUAAGAACUUUGUACAACUAGAAAUUUGGCUACUGAAUUAUGCUAAUUCAGUGCUUAUUGAAUUAGAACAUGUGAUGCCCUUCCUAAUUAUAUUCCUUUUUGGAUCUUUUAUUUGUUCAACUGUGCAUAAAAAUAGUUCACUCUUUACCUAUAUGUACGUUUACAAGUAAUAUUUAUAUCAACUCCUUAUUUUAAUAGAAAUGUGUGAAUGAGAAAAACAAAGAUGGUAAUCAGCAGAAGGAUCUCCAGAAUUUGGUGGAGCCGAAGGCAGUAGCAAACUGUGUAAAUAAAGCAUUAAUUAAAUCAAAGAACGCUACGGAACAAAAGGAAACUGAAAUGUCUUCACCUGAGAGUCCUGCAUCUCUAGAGACAAUGAGAUGUGCUGAGAGAAUAUCAGAGGGAUGUGUUACUCAAGACCGUACUUCUAGUGAGGGGUCACCUGGUCUUCUGAAGUCAACACCAGAAAAAAAGGAAACAUUAAACACUGAGAAAGGAAUCUCUCCCAAUAAUCUCUGUCUACAAAAGAAGAAUAAUCAAAUUAUCUAUCUAAACCAGUCUCCUGAAAUGACUGUUAAAAAGUUAACAUUUGGAAAUAAAAGUUUCUCACCAGUUCUAACUGCUUCGUAUUUGGUAAGAAUAUUAAAAUUACUCUACAGAUGUUUUAACUGCAGUUAUUCCAUUCAGCUGCUACAUGCCUUAAUGCUUUUGUCUAUCUCAUUUCAAUAAUUUUUUCUUAUUUGUUAAUGUGUAGCUCAACUUAACUUCAGUAACCCCAUAUAAAGCACACUGUGGAAAAAACACAGAGGGAUCUGUAUCUGAAACAUGUGAUGCUACUGAGAAUUUAAGUUUUAGCCAUGGCUUUUCAGACAAAAUUUCUGUUGAAGGAAAACAACAAGUCAUCACUAAACAUGUCAUAAAAAAUAAAGGAGAGGUAUGUUACUAAAUCCA
This 1248-nucleotide long non-coding RNA is filed under the name Numida meleagris (helmeted guineafowl). Its description in RNAcentral is "lncRNA (ENSNMEG00000015978.1)". The record is from RNAcentral. Lineage: Eukaryota; Metazoa; Chordata; Aves; Galliformes; Numididae.